Molecule: ribosomal RNA, 595 nt
Filed under: uncultured fungus
Lineage: Eukaryota; Fungi
Description: eukaryotic LSU rRNA
Rfam family: Eukaryotic large subunit ribosomal RNA
Source: RNAcentral
AUAUCAAUAAGCGGAGGAAAAGAAACUAACAAGGAUUCCCUUAGUAACGGCGAGUGAAGCGGGAAGAGCUCAAAUUUAAAAUCUCGUCGGUUUCUCCGGCGCGAAUUGUAGUUUAUGGAAGCGUUUUUUCGGCAGAUGCCUAGGUACAAGUCCUUUGGAACAGGGUAUCAUAGAGGGUGAGAAUCCCGUCUCUGACCUUGGUUUAUCUGCUAUGUGAUACGUUUUCCGAGAGUCAGGUUGUUUGGGAAUGCAGCCUAAAAUGGGUGGUAAAUUUCAUCUAAAGCUAAAUAUUGGCGAGAGACCGAUAGCGAACAAGUACCGUGAGGGAAAGAUGAAAAGAACUUUGAAAAGAGAGUUAAACAGUACGUGAAAUUGUUGAAAGGGAAGCGCUUGCAACCAGACUUGCACGCUGUCGAUCAUCCGAGGUUUUCCCCGGUGCACUCGGCGGCGUUCAGGCCAGCAUCGGUUUCAGUGGUUGGAUAAAGGCCUUGGGAAUGUGGCUCCUCCGGGAGUGUUAUAGCCCUCGGUGCAAUGCAGCCUACUGGGACCGAGGACCGCGCUUCGGCUAGGAUGCUGGCGUAAUGGUUGUAAGCGA